GCGACCCCAGGUCAGGCGGGACUACCCGCUGAGUUUAAGCAUAUAAAUAAGC
Molecule: ribosomal RNA, 52 nt
Filed under: Dupontia fisheri
Lineage: Eukaryota; Viridiplantae; Streptophyta; Magnoliopsida; Poales; Poaceae
Also listed under: 1 other name
Description: partial 26S ribosomal RNA
Source: RNAcentral